GGUCAAUUUUGAAAUUACAA
RNAcentral lists this small nuclear RNA (20 nucleotides) under Arabidopsis thaliana (thale cress). RNAcentral describes it as "snRNA_10423". Lineage: Eukaryota; Viridiplantae; Streptophyta; Magnoliopsida; Brassicales; Brassicaceae. The record is from RNAcentral.